Molecule: ribosomal RNA, 636 nt
Filed under: Helostroma bacarum
Lineage: Eukaryota; Fungi; Basidiomycota; Exobasidiomycetes; Microstromatales; Microstromataceae
Description: LSU rRNA
Rfam family: Eukaryotic large subunit ribosomal RNA
Source: RNAcentral
UUAAGCAUAUCAAUAAGCGGAGGAAAAGAAACUAACAAGGAUUCCCCUAGUAACGGCGAGUGAAGCGGGAAGAGCUCAAAUUUGAAAGCUGGCGCCUUCGGCGUCCGCGUUGUAAUCUCGAGAAGUGUUUUCCGUGCUGGACCAUGUACAAGUUCCUUGGAAUAGGACGUCAUAGAGGGUGAAAAUCCCGUCCUUGACAUGGACGCCCAGUGCUUUGUGAUACGCUCUCCACGAGUCGAGUUGUUUGGGAAUGCAGCUCAAAAUGGGUGGUAAAUUCCAUCUAAAGCUAAAUAUUGGGGAGAGACCGAUAGCGAACAAGUACCGUGAGGGAAAGAUGAAAAGCACUUUGGAAAGAGAGUUAAACAGUACGUGAAAUUGUCGAAAGGGAAGCGCUUGAAGUUAGACAUGCCUGCUGGAAUUCAGCCUUGCUUUUUGCUUGGUGUAUUUUCCGGUGAGCAGGCCAGCAUCAGUUUUGUCUGUCGGAUAAGGGUAGGAGGAACGUAGCCCCCCUCGGGGGGUGUUAUAGCCUCUUACUGGAUACGGCGGAUGGGACUGAGGACCGCAGUGUGCCUUUAUGGCGGGCCUUCGGGCACCUUCACACUUAGGAUGCUGGCGUAAUGGCUUUAAGCGACCCGU